AAAUGUUCAUGUGAAAGGAAGAGGAAAACAGCAGAUCACCACAAGGCUUCUGAGCAAUAGUUAGCCCAGAAAGAAGUUUUGCGCCUUUAAGAUUACUUCCGAGAACAAAAGUGGGGAGCGAAGAAGUGUGGAGUUUGUUAUCAAGAACUGCACUUGCUCCCCCACAUCCUUCUCCUAGACUGUGUUGUCUGCAGCACAGACAGAUGACUGAAAACCCAAAAGAGCAUUGGCAGCUCUCACCUGUGGCCCACUGGGGCCUGGCCUGGGCCACAGCAUUUCCUAGUUCUGGAUGGACUGAUAAGAGACUGAGUAAGCCGAGCUACAGCCCAUGGAGGAGACUUUCUGAGUUUGUCAUCUCUUCAGAGUGGCGAGAGGUUUUGUUGUUU
This is a long non-coding RNA of Vidua macroura (Pin-tailed whydah), 386 nucleotides long. RefSeq lists it as uncharacterized. Lineage: Eukaryota; Metazoa; Chordata; Aves; Passeriformes; Viduidae. The record is from RefSeq and is a predicted model, not a curated record. The transcript has 3 exons.